GACGAUCGCUGGCGGCGUGCUUAACACAUGCAAGUCGAACGGAAAGGCCCUGCUUUUGUGGGGUGCUCGAGUGGCGAACGGGUGAGUAACACGUGAGUAACCUGCCCUUGACUUUGGGAUAACUUCAGGAAACUGGGGCUAAUACCGGAUAGGAGCUCCUGCUGCAUGGUGGGGGUUGGAAAGUUUCGGCGGUUGGGGAUGGACUCGCGGCUUAUCAGCUUGUUGGUGGGGUAGUGGCUUACCAAGGCUUUGACGGAUAGCCGGCCUGAGAGGGUGACCGGCCACAUUGGGACUGAGAUACGGCCCAGACUCCUACGGGAGGAAGCAGUGGGGAAUAUGGAACAAUGGGCGGAAGCCGGAGGAAGCAACGCCGCGUGCGGGAUGACGGCCUUCGGGUUGUAAACCGCUUUCGCCUGUGACGAAGCGUGAGUGACGGUAAUGGGUAAAGAAGCACCGGCUAACUACGUG
RNAcentral lists this ribosomal RNA (468 nucleotides) under uncultured bacterium. RNAcentral's name for it is "partial 16S ribosomal RNA". It matches the Rfam family "Bacterial small subunit ribosomal RNA", at positions 28 to 507 of the family's 1533-position model. The record is from RNAcentral.